CGGGACGGGGUGAGUAAUGUCUGGGAAACUGCUGAUGGAGGGGGGUAACUACUGGAAACGGUAGCUAAUACCGCAUAACGUCGCAAGACCAAAGAGGGGGACCUUAGGGCCUCUUGCCAUCGGAUGUGCCCAGAUGGGAUUAGCUAGUAGGUGGGGUAACGGCUCACCUAGGCGACGAUCCCUAGCUGGUCUGAGAGGAUGACCAGCCACACUGGAACUGAGACACGGUCCAG
This 233-nucleotide ribosomal RNA is filed under the name uncultured bacterium. Its description in RNAcentral is "partial 16S ribosomal RNA". It matches the Rfam family "Bacterial small subunit ribosomal RNA", at positions 104 to 334 of the family's 1533-position model. The record is from RNAcentral.